UACGGAGGGUGCGAGCGUUGUCCGGAAUCAUUGGGCGUAAAGGGCGCGUAGGUGGCCCGGUCAGUUCGUGGUGAAAGCGCGGGGCUCAACCCUGCGUCGGCCAUGAAUACUGCCGCGGCUGGAGCACUGUAGAGGCAGGCGGAAUUCAUGGUGUAGCAGUGAAAUGCGUAGAGAUCAUGAGGAAGACCAGUGGCGAAGGCGGGUCUCUGGACAGUUCCUGACACUGAGACACGAAGGCCAGGGGAGCAAAACGGGG
This 256-nucleotide ribosomal RNA is filed under the name uncultured bacterium. RNAcentral describes it as "partial 16S ribosomal RNA". It matches the Rfam family "Bacterial small subunit ribosomal RNA", at positions 524 to 778 of the family's 1533-position model. The record is from RNAcentral.